This 462-nucleotide ribosomal RNA is filed under the name uncultured bacterium. RNAcentral's name for it is "partial 16S ribosomal RNA". It matches the Rfam family "Bacterial small subunit ribosomal RNA", at positions 28 to 506 of the family's 1533-position model. The record is from RNAcentral.
GACGAACGCUGGCGGCGUGCUUAACACAUGCAAGUCGAGCGGAAAGGCCACUUCGGUGGUACUCGAGCGGCGAACGGGUGAGUAACACGUGAGUAAUCUGCCCCUCACUUUGGGAUAGCCACCGGAAACGGUGAUUAAUACCGGAUAUGACCAUAUGUCGCAUGGCGUGUGGUGGAAAGUUUUUCGGUGAGGGAUGUGCUCGCGGCCUAUCAGCUUGAUGGUGAGGUAAUGGCUCACCAUGGCUUCGACGGGUAGCCGGCCUGAGAGGGUGACCGGUCACACUGGGACUGAGACACGGCCCAGACUCCUACGGGAGGCAGCAGUGGGGAAUAUUGGACAAUGGGCGGAAGCCUGAUCCAGCAACGCCGCGUGAGGGAGGACGGCCUUCGGGUGGUAAACCUCUUUCAGUACCGACGAAGCGCAAGUGACGGUAGGUACAGAAGAAGCACCGGCCAACUACGU